Molecule: long non-coding RNA, 5231 nt
Filed under: Mus musculus (house mouse)
Lineage: Eukaryota; Metazoa; Chordata; Mammalia; Rodentia; Muridae
Description: predicted gene 29253
Source: RNAcentral
GCGAGAUGGAGCAGCUGCUGGCCUGGCCCAGGGUGGCCUGCUCCCCGAGAAUGCCCUCUUCACAUCCAUCCAGUCCUUACAGUCUGAGUCCGAGCCACUGAGCCUUAUUGCAAAUGUGGUAGCAGGCUCAUCCUGCCGAGGACCCUCACUGUCCAGAGACCUGCAGGGCUCCAGGCACAGGGCUGAUGUUGCUUCUGCCCUUCGAUCCUUCUCCCCUCUGCAGCCUGGAGCGGCCCCUCAAGGCCGGGUUCCCAGUACCAUGACAGGCUCUGGAGUGGAUGCCAGGACAGCCAGCUCUGGGAGUAGCGUGUGGGAAGGACAGCUGCAGAGCCUGGUGCUGUCCGAAUACGCGUCCACCGAGAUGAGCCUGCACGCCCUGUACAUGCACCAGCUCCACAAGCAGCAGACCCAGGCUGAGCCCGAGCGGCAUGUGUGGCACCGCCGGGAGAGUGAUGAGAGUGGAGAGAGUGCCCCUGAAGAGGGGGGAGAGGGUGCCCGGGCCCCCCAACCCAUCCCCCGCUCGGCCAGCUAUCCCUGUGCUACACCCCGGCCUGGAGCACCUGAGACCACCGCCCUGCAUGGGGGCUUCCAGAGGCGCUACGGGGGCAUCACAGAUCCUGGCACAGUGCCCCGUGGCCCCUCUCACUUCUCCAGGCUGCCCCUGGGAGGAUGGGCAGAAGAUGGCCAGCCAGCAUCAAGGCACCCAGAGCCGGUGCCAGAGGAGGGCUCAGAGGAUGAACUCCCCCCUCAAGUGCACAAGGUAUAGGCAAGGCGGUAGCUGGUUCCCAUGCUCCAGGAUGGAGGUGGCAGCUGCCCUGCCAUCCCUUCUGUCUGCCAUGAGAGGGACUCUCUGAGUGUCGCCUGGCCCCACGUGUGGUGUUUUGUGUGUUCCUGCCUGGCCAAGGGAGGUGCCAAUGCUGGGCUUACCAUAGUCCAGGAAGAAUAUGAGGACUAGGGGCACACAAGAGUCUAGCUUCGUCUCCAGGACUCCCUUGGCUCAGAGUGUGGUGCUAGAAACUGGUCCCCAGCCCAGUCCCAGUACUGCCAUCUUUGCAUCCACCCCUGCAAGUCUCCAGAGGGCUUCCUGCCACAGAAGUGCUGCCAAGCAGAAGAACCUGUGCCAACUGUGGAGUGGGGAGGCAGGGCCUGAACCCUCAAUCCCUGCAGCCUAGCCUCCCCACCCUCCAGAACCUGGAAUAGCUGAGCAGCUCAGGCUGUGGCCCUUACCUCCAGUCCUCACCUCAACCUGCGCUGCAGCCUCCCUCCCCCCUGCACAUCACUGGCAUGUGUGCUGCUUGACCACCCCCCCUUCUGUUCACCUGCCCCCCUUCUGUUUGGCUUUGGCUUUUUGUUGGGGUGAGAGCCCUAGCUCCCAGCUCCCCUCACUAUCUUUUGACACUAAGAUGGAAGGUUACUAAGUUGCAGGAACAGGAUGAAAAUUCUUUAUUACCCUCUUCAACUUUUAGGACGAGCACUUGGGAGUGUGAGGCCUUCCUGGCUGCUUCUAUGUAGUCCUACCACCUGCACAGAGGGGCUGGCAGGGCAGAAGUGUGACCUCAGUUAUAUAUACAUCCCAGCUCUGCCCAGUAUCCCUCACUUACCAAGAGGAGAAUGGAGGGAUAAUGGACUCACCCUAGCCUAGGGCUUCGACAUUGCAUGCUGGGAUCCAGCUCCUACCCUUCCUGCACUCCCUUCCCCAGUUCUGCUCAGCUCAGCUGUGGGAGGUAAACUUAAGCUGAAGGUGGCGGACUCUACUGUCGCAGGCCACAGCAGACAGGGUGGGAGCCCUGUACAGCUUGAUAACCCUUAAUAAAGAAGGGACUUUGAUCUGGUUGUGGCAUCUUUUUUUUUCCCCCACGCAGCAGUUUGGGGGGGGGGGGGGGGGUCUUAGGACUGUAAAAGAGUCCUGGCCGGGAGGCUUGGGAAACAAGUACGCCUGCAGGACCACGGGAACAGAACUAGGACUCAGAGAAGAGCUGUUUCUAGUGUGCUUCAGUAGCUUGAUAAUGUGUGAAGCCCUGAGUUCGUUCUUUAGCACUAUAAUAGAGGGAACUGAAGCAGGUUAGAGACCAGGGAGGCCUCGGUGUAAUGCCUUUAUAAAGGGCGGGGGUGGAGGGUGGGGAGUGCAAAUUCGGACGCACUACUCUGUGGAGGUCAAAGUCUCCAGUCAGAUUCAGGUUAGAGUUCCCGCCUUGGACAUGUGACCCAGUCGGUUCUCAGCCCUAUUUGUGUUCCUUACCCUUGGCCAAUGGGAACCCUGGAUAGAUCUGGUGGGCGGGGCCGCUGCCGUAAAGGACCCAACAUUUUUGUGCGGCGGCUCCGAGCCUUAGGGUCCCAGCUGCUAGCGAGUGGGAACCGGCAAGCACGGCGUACGUGGCUUGCGUGAGUAUGCGUGGUAGCGGCGCGUGCGUGAAGAGAGUGGGCAGUGUAGCAGGUCCACGUGCGUCCCUUCCCGCGACCCAAGCGGCGUAGCUCCAUGUCCCAGGACACCCUGGCAUCUGCGGCCCUCUCUGAAGGGUCAGCCCGACUCUUUGUGCAGUGACCUCAAGUUCAGCCAGCAGCCACACAUCGCCAUGGUGACUGUGGGCAACUACUGCGAGACCGAAGGGCCGGCGGGGCCCGCUUGGACUCAGAAUGGCUUGAGUCCCUGCUUCUUCUUCACGCUAGUGCCCUCGACACUCCUGACUCUGGGGGUACUGGCCUUGGUGCUGGUUCUUCCCCGCAGGCGUCGGGAGGUGCCUGCUGGCCCAGAAGAGCUGUCUUGGGCGGCUGGCCCUCGGGUGGCCCCAUAUGUGCUGCAGCUGUUUCUGGCCACACUUCAGAUGGCACUGCCCCUGGCUGGUCUGGCUGGCCGAGUGGGCACUGCUCGGGGGGUCCGUCUGCCAGGCUACCUACUGCUGGCUUCUGUGCUGGAGAGUCUGGCCAGCGUCUGUGGCUUGUGGCUGCUCGUGGUGGAACGGAGCCAGGCACGGCAGAGUCUGGCAAUGGGCGUCUGGAUGAAGUUCAGGCAUAGCUUGGGUCUCCUGCUCCUCUGGACUGUGACAUUUGCAGCCGAGAACUUGGCCCUAGUAUCUUGGAACAGCCCGCAGUGGUGGUGGGCCAGAGCAGAUCUGGGCCAGCAGGUUCAAUUUGGCCUGUGGGUCCUGCGUUAUGUGACCUCUGGAGGGCUAUUUAUCUUGGGGCUCUGGGCCCCAGGACUUCGCCCCCAGUCUUAUACUCUACACGUUCAUGAAGAAGACCAAGAUGUAGGAGGGAACCAGGGCCGCUCAACAGACCGACGAUCCACCUGGAGAGACCUUGGCCGGAAGCUUCGACUGCUGAGUAGCUACUUGUGGCCUCGGGGAAGUCCAUCACUACAGCUGAUAGUGCUCAUAUGCCUGGGACUCAUGGGGUUGGAACGAGCACUCAAUGUGUUGGUCCCCAUCUUCUAUAGGGACAUUGGUGAGGGGGUGGAAGGGUAUGCUUGGCUUAGUGGCUGGGUUGGCCCUUACCUAGGGAGGUUACACAAAAAUGGGAGGUAGGUGGUCAGAGCCUGGAGCAGUUUUGUCUUAGAGUCCUGGUUGUUGAUGGUGGACCCUGAUACCUUUAAUCCACAGUGAACUUACUGACUGCGAAGGCUCCUUGGAGCUCCCUGGCCUGGACCGUUACCACCUAUGUCUUCCUCAAGUUCCUCCAGGGGGGUGGCACUGGCAGUACAGGUUUUGUGAGCAACCUGCGAACCUUCCUAUGGAUCCGGGUGCAGCAGUUUACGUCCCGAGGUGUGGAGCUACGUCUCUUCUCUCACCUGCAUGAACUCUCACUGCGCUGGCACCUGGGCCGGCGUACCGGGGAGGUGCUUCGGAUCGUGGACCGGGGAACAUCUAGUGUCACAGGACUACUCAGCUACCUGGUGUUCAGCAUCAUCCCCACCCUGGCUGACAUCAUCAUUGGCAUCAUCUACUUCAGCAUGUUCUUCAAUGCCUGGUUUGGCCUCAUCGUGUUCCUGUGCAUGAGUCUUUACCUCAUCCUGACUAUCGUGGUCACCGAGUGGAGAGCCAAGUUUCGCCGUGAUAUGAACACACAGGAAAACGCCACCCGGGCACGAGCAGUAGACUCUCUGCUCAACUUUGAAACGGUGAAAUACUAUGGUGCCGAGGGUUAUGAAGUAGACCGCUAUCGAGAGGCCAUCCUCAAGUUUCAGGGUUUGGAGUGGAAGUCAACCGCCUCACUGGUUGUGCUGAAUCAGACACAGAACCUGGUGAUCGGGCUUGGCCUCCUUGCUGGCUCCUUGCUUUGCGCAUACUUCGUCAGUGAGCAGAAGCUACAGGUUGGGGACUUUGUGCUUUUUGGCACUUACAUCACCCAACUGUACAUGCCUCUCAACUGGUUUGGCACCUACUACAGGAUGAUCCAGACUAACUUCAUUGACAUGGAGAACAUGUUUGACUUGCUGAAAGAGGAGACAGAAGUGAAGGAUGUUCCUGGUGCAGGGCCCCUUCGUUUUCAUAAGGGCCGGAUUGAGUUUGAAAAUGUGCACUUCAGCUACGCUGAUGGGCAGGAGACCUUACAAGAUGUGUCCUUCACUGUGAUGCCUGGACAGACGGUGGCUCUGGUAGGUCCAUCUGGGGCAGGAAAGAGCACAAUUUUGCGCCUGCUAUUUCGCUUCUAUGACAUCAGCUCUGGCUGCAUCCGAAUAGAUGGACAGGAUAUUUCACAGGGUAUGAGACACAGGUCGGGGAGCGGGGUCUGAAGCUGAGUGGUGGCGAGAAGCAGCGAGUGGCCAUCGCCCGCACCAUCCUUAAGGCUCCUGACAUCAUUCUGCUGGAUGAGGCCACAUCAGCACUGGAUACAUCUAAUGAGAGAGCCAUCCAGGCCUCUCUGGCCAAAGUCUGCACCAACCGCACCACCAUCGUCAUAGCACACAGGCUCUCAACUGUGGUCAAUGCUGACCAGAUUCUGGUCAUCAAGGACGGUUGCAUCAUAGAGAGAGGAAGGCACGAAGCCCUGCUGUCCCGAGGUGGCGUUUAUGCCGAGAUGUGGCAGCUGCAGCAGCAAGGACAAGAAACUGUCCCUGAAGAAUCUAAACCUCAGGACACGGCAUAGUAAUAAAAGGGACCUCUUUCCUUCCAAAGGCGAACUCAGGAGAAAAAGAUAUGUCCCCUCUCUUGCCUUCAUUUCAUCCUGGUGUAGGAGUUUGGUGCUAGCUAUUGUAAGGAAAAGGGACCUUCCAGAAAGCAUCGUGAGGAAAUAAA